RNAcentral lists this ribosomal RNA (427 nucleotides) under uncultured delta proteobacterium. RNAcentral's name for it is "bacterial SSU rRNA". It matches the Rfam family "Bacterial small subunit ribosomal RNA", at positions 356 to 774 of the family's 1533-position model. Lineage: Bacteria; Deltaproteobacteria. The record is from RNAcentral.
GGGGAAUAUUGCGCAAUGGGGGAAACCCUGACGCAGCGACGCCGGGUGUGGGGAGAAGUCUUUCGGGUCGUAAACUUCUGUCGUGAAUGAAGAACCCCCCAGGUCCGGACAGGGCCUGGGGCUCACGGGACUUCCAGAGCAAGGCCAUCGCAACUCCGUUCCAGCAGCCGCGGUAAUACGGCGGGUGCAAGCGUUACUCGGAAUCACUGGGCGUAAAGCGCGCGUAGGCGGCUUUUUAAGUCGGACGUGAAAGCCCUCGGCUCAACCGGGGAAUUGCGUUCGAAACUGGGAGGCUUGAGUCCUGGAGAGGGUGGCGGAAUUCCGGGUGUAGGAGUGAAAUCCGUAGAUAUCCGGAGGAACACCGGUGGCGAAGGCGGCCACCUGGACAGGUACUGACGCUGAGGCGCGAAAGCGUGGGGAGCAAACA